RNAcentral lists this ribosomal RNA (497 nucleotides) under uncultured bacterium. RNAcentral's name for it is "partial 16S ribosomal RNA". It matches the Rfam family "Bacterial small subunit ribosomal RNA", at positions 28 to 507 of the family's 1533-position model. The record is from RNAcentral.
GAUGAACGCUGGCGGCGUGCCUAAUACAUGCAAGUCGAGCGAACGGACGAGAAGCUUGCUUUUCUGAUGUUAGCGGCGGACGGGUGAGUAACACGUGGAUAACCUACCUAUAAGACUGGGAUAACUUCGGGAAACCGGAGCUAAUACCGGAUAAUAUUUUGAACCGCAUGGUUCAAAAGUGAAAGACGGUCUUGCUGUCACUUAUAGAUGGAUCCGCGCUGCAUUAGCUAGUUGGUAGGGUAACGGCUUACCAAGGCAACGAUGCAUAGCCGACCUGAGAGGGUGAUCGGCCACACUGGAACUGAGACACGGUCCAGACUCCUACGGGAGGCAGCAGUAGGGAAUCUUCCGCAAUGGGCGAAAGCCUGACGGAGCAACGCCGCGUGAGUGAUGAAGGUCUUCGGAUCGUAAAACUCUGUUAUUAGGGAAGAACAUAUGUGUAAGUAACUGUGCACAUCUUGACGGUACCUAAUCAGAAAGCCACGGCUAACUACGUG